Molecule: ribosomal RNA, 297 nt
Filed under: uncultured bacterium
Lineage: Bacteria
Description: partial 16S ribosomal RNA
Rfam family: Bacterial small subunit ribosomal RNA
Source: RNAcentral
CGGCUCCUCGGGACGCAGCAGUGAGGAAUAUUGGUCAAUGGGCGGGAGCCUGAACCAGCCAAGUCGCGUGAGGGAAGACGGUCCUAUGGAUUGUAAACCUCUUUAGGCGGGGAGCAAUGCCGGGCACGCGUGCCCGGAGGGAGAGUACACGCAGAAUAAGCACCGGCUAACUCCGUGCCAGCAGCCGCGGUAAUACGGAGGAUGCGAGCGUUAUCCGGAUUUAUUGGGUUUAAAGGGUGCGUAGGCGGAUUUUUAAGUCAGCGGUAAAAUGUCCGGGCUCAACCCGGGCCGGCCGUU